Molecule: long non-coding RNA, 701 nt
Organism: Eupeodes corollae
Lineage: Eukaryota; Metazoa; Arthropoda; Insecta; Diptera; Syrphidae
Exons: 3
Source: RefSeq, a predicted model, not a curated record
CCAUUUUAAUUUUUAUGCCACAGCGUGUGCACGUUUUUUGGUAAAAUCUCAAAUUCUUGGUUAACAUUUAAAAAAGAUUUUAUUUAGUGAAACAAAAAUUUGCUCUAAUAAAGGGGAAUAUUAAAAAUAAAAUAACAUGGAAGAUUCUUGACUUCUUAUACGAGGGCUGAAUUAUAUGCCUCGAGUUCAAUUACCUCUUCAAGUCUAAGAUGGAGAGAAACUACCCAACUUAGUAAUGAUCACGUAAGUGAAAAAAUAAAUUUUGCCACAUUUGCUCAAAAUAUUUAUUGUAAUGAUGAACAUGUUUCUAUAUGAGUUAUGAUUAUAUUUUACAUGCACCACCAACUGAAUCAAUAACUUAGACCUUUAAUGUAUAAAGUCUUUGGAAAUCUUACUUAUCACAUUUUUCAUUCUUGUAGGGCUGGAAAAUGAAACUGCAUCGUGUUUUUUGUCUUCUGGUUGGAGAUGGACUUUCUAAGCUAUUAGUUCCAACGUCCAGGAAACUCGAUAAGGAAUGAUGUGAACGGUAGAACUAGACUGGUUGCCGUUGCAACAAAGCCAAUGGAUAUUCAGAAUACCAUUUAGGAUCCUUUCUGUAUCCUACAUAAUGUAAUUAUUCUCAACAACAAAAAAAGGAAAAUAAAUUAUGUUAAAUUGUAAAAAAAAUAUUGCAACAAAUAAAAAGAAAUUUAAAUAAACUA